This 76-nucleotide transfer RNA is filed under the name Pseudomonadota bacterium. RNAcentral describes it as "tRNA-Lys". It matches the Rfam family "tRNA". From Rfam's summary of the family: Transfer RNA (tRNA) molecules are approximately 80 nucleotides in length. The record is from RNAcentral. Lineage: Bacteria; Pseudomonadati; Pseudomonadota.
GGGCCGUUAGCUCAACUGGUAGAGCAACUGACUCUUAAUCAGUAGGCUCGGAGUUCGAGUCUCCGACGGCCCACCA